GUGAGUCAUCGAAUCUUUGAACGCAAAUUGCACUCUCUGGUAUUCCGGAGAGUAUGCCUGUUUGAGGGUCAGUUAAAUAAAAAUCGGGGUUGUUGCUGCCUUUCGUGGUGACGCUUCGGAAUUGGGUUGUCUUUACCUUCGGUUAAAGUGACCUAAAAUUUUAUAUGAUUUUUCGAACGUAUUUAAAUUAUUUACGUACGUUUGCAUUGUCGAAUAUUAGGUGUGGUCAUUUUCAUGAUACGCGUCUAUAAUUUUUCAUCUAUUGACCUCAAAUCAGGUAAGAGUACCCGCUGAACUUAA
Molecule: unclassified non-coding RNA, 300 nt
Filed under: uncultured Dominikia
Lineage: Eukaryota; Fungi; Glomeromycota; Glomeromycetes; Glomerales; Glomeraceae
Description: sequence contains 5.8S rRNA gene, ITS2
Rfam family: 5.8S ribosomal RNA (bases 1-71)
Source: RNAcentral